AUACGUAGGUGGCAAGCGUUGUCCGGAAUUAUUGGGCGUAAAGCGCAUGUAGGCGGUGCCUUAAGUCUGUCGUGAAACUGCGGGGCCUAACCCCGUAUGGCGAUGGAAACUGUGGCACUUGAGUGCAGGAGAGGAAAGGGGGACUCCCAGUGUAGCGGUGAAAUGCGUGGAUAUUGGGAAGAACACCGGUGGCGAAGGCGCCUUUCUGGAUGGUGUGUGACGCUGAGAUGCGAAAGCCAGGGUAGCGAACGAGAUUAGAUUGCCCGGUAGUCCUGGCCGUAAACGAUGGGUCCUAGGUGUGGGAGGUAUCGACCCCUUCCGUGCCGGAGUUAACGCAAUAAGUACCCCGCCUGGGGAGUACGGCCGCAAGGCUUAAACUCAAAGGAAUUGACGGGG
RNAcentral lists this ribosomal RNA (396 nucleotides) under uncultured bacterium. RNAcentral describes it as "partial 16S ribosomal RNA". It matches the Rfam family "Bacterial small subunit ribosomal RNA", at positions 523 to 918 of the family's 1533-position model. The record is from RNAcentral.